RNAcentral lists this ribosomal RNA (492 nucleotides) under uncultured bacterium. RNAcentral describes it as "partial 16S ribosomal RNA". It matches the Rfam family "Bacterial small subunit ribosomal RNA", at positions 29 to 507 of the family's 1533-position model. The record is from RNAcentral.
AGUGAACGCUGGCGGCAGGCCUAACACAUGCAAGUCGAACGGCAGCACAGUAAGAGCUUGCUCUUACGGGUGGCGAGUGGCGGACGGGUGAGGCAUACAUCGGCAUCUUCUUUUUCGUGGGGGAUAACGUAGGGAAACUUACGCUAAUACCGCAUACGACCUACGGGUGAAAGCAGGGGAUCUUCGCACCUUGCGCGAUUGAAUGAGCCGAUGUCGGAUUAGCUAGUUGGCGGGGUAAAGGCCCACCAAGGCGACGAUCCGUAGCUGAUCUGAGAGGAUGAUCGGCCACACUGGAACUGAGACACGGUCCAGACUCCUACGGGAGGCAGCAGUGGGGAAUAUUGGGCAAUGGGCGCAAGCCUGAUCCAGCCAUACCGCGUGGGUGAAGAAGGCCUUCGGGUUGUAAAGCCCUUUUGUUGGGAAAGAAAAGCAGCAUAUUAAUACCCCGCUGUUCUGACGGUACCCAAAGAAUAAGCACCGGCUAACUUCGUG